AACGAACGCUGGCGGCAUGCCUAACACAUGCAAGUCGAACGAGACCUUCGGGUCUAGUGGCGCACGGGUGCGUAACGCGUGGGAACCUGCCCGUAGGUUCGGAAUAACUCCCCGAAAGGUGUCCUAAUACCGGUUAAGCUCUUCGGACCAAAGAUUUAUCGCCGUUGGAUGGGCCCGCGUUGGAUUCGCUGGUUGGUAGUGUAAAAGCCUACCAAGGCGACGAUCCAUAGCUGGUCGGAGAGGAUGAUCAGCCACGCUGGGACUGAGACACGGCCCAGACUCCUACGGGGAGCAGCAGUGGGGAAUAUUGGACAAGGGGCGAAAGCCUGAUACAGCCAUGCGGCGUGAGUGAUGAAGGCCUUAGGGUUGCAAAGCUCUUUUACCCGGGAUGAUAAUGACAGUACCGGGAGAAUAAGCUCCGGCUAACUCCGUG
This 433-nucleotide ribosomal RNA is filed under the name uncultured bacterium. RNAcentral describes it as "partial 16S ribosomal RNA". It matches the Rfam family "Bacterial small subunit ribosomal RNA", at positions 29 to 507 of the family's 1533-position model. The record is from RNAcentral.